UGAACCUUUACUAUAGCUUGACACUGAACAUUGAGCCUUGAUGUGUAGGAUAGGUGGGAGGCUUUGAAGUGUGGACGCCAGUCUGCAUGGAGCCGACCUUGAAAUACCACCCUUUAAUGUUUGAUGUUCUAACGUGGGCCCCUUACCGGGGUUGCGGACAGUGUCUGGUGGGUAGUUUGACUGGGGCGGUCUCCUCCUAAAGAGUAACGGAGGAGCACGAAGGUUGGCUAAUCCUGGUCGGACAUCAGGAGGUUAGUGCAAUGGCAUAAGCCAGCUUGACUGCGAGCGUGACGGCGCGAGCAGGUGCGAAAGCAGGUCAUAGUGAUCCGGUGGUUCUGAAUGGAAGGGCCAUCGCUCAACGGAUAAAAGGUACUCCGGGGAUAACAGGCUGAUACCGCCCAAGAGUUCAUAUCGACGGCGGUGUUUGGCACCUCGAUGUCGGCUCAUCACAUCCUGGGGCUGAAGUAGGUCCCAAGGGUAUGGCUGUUCGCCAUUUAAAGUGGUACGCGAGCUGGGUUUAGAACGUCGUGAGACAGUUCGGUCCCUAUCUGCCGUGGGCGCUGGAGAACUGAGGGGGGCUGCUCCUAGUACGAGAGGACCGGAGUGGACGCAUCACUGGUGUUCGGGUUGUCAUGCCAAUGGCACUGCCCGGUAGCUAAAUGCGGAAGAGAUAAGUGCUGAAAGCAUCUAAGCACGAAACUUGCCCCGAGAUGAGUUCUCCCUGACUCCUUGAGAGUCCUGAAGGAACGUUGAAGACGACGACGUUGAUAGGCCGGGUGUGUAAGCGCAGCGAUGCGUUGAGCUAACCGGUACUAAUGAACCGUGAGGCUUAACCUUACAACGCCGAAG
This 849-nucleotide ribosomal RNA is filed under the name Escherichia coli. Its description in RNAcentral is "partial 23S ribosomal RNA". It matches the Rfam family "Bacterial large subunit ribosomal RNA", at positions 2094 to 2925 of the family's 2925-position model. The record is from RNAcentral. Lineage: Bacteria; Pseudomonadati; Pseudomonadota; Gammaproteobacteria; Enterobacterales; Enterobacteriaceae.